CUUAUAGAUUUAUCUUCAUUUGUAAUUUGCAUGCGUUUUAUAUUUGUUAUUUUAUAGAUUUCUGCAUGAUGAGGCGGUGCAUGCCAACAAAUUCAUAAACAAUAUUACUCCAGAUUGCAUCACGACAGAAUUGUCAAUGUUAGGCAUGGUCGGGCCUAUGGGAGGGAGUCUAUGGUCUACCUUCAACUUGUCAAAAUCUUCUGGUGUUUGGUGAAAAAAAGAGAAAUAAUGAAAAGACAAUUACCAGUCUGGAAUCUACACAACUUGCAAAUAUACAAGAAUAGGUAGAUUUUUUUUUUCUUCUUUUUCUAAUACAAGAAUAGGUAGAUUGUCAUGCACUUGGGGCAUCCUUGUAUGCAGCAUUUUUUGGUGCAUUCAGAUAUGUCAAUGAAAGAAAA
Molecule: long non-coding RNA, 398 nt
Organism: Quercus lobata
Lineage: Eukaryota; Viridiplantae; Streptophyta; Magnoliopsida; Fagales; Fagaceae
Exons: 2
Source: RefSeq, a predicted model, not a curated record